GCUGCUUUUGAUCAAAUGAGUGCUCAGGAUCAUAAUAUGAGUUAUGUUAACAGGGAUCCUCGUAAUCAAGAUUGCAGCUUUGAUAGACCUCUUGCAACCUCACCACCUGCACAGGCUCAGAUACCGGCUUUCUCCCAAAAUAUUCUAUCAGAAAAGGUGUGGCCUGAAGAGCAUCUGCGAGAGAAGUCGAUGGCAGCAAUUAAAGAAUUUUACAGUGCCAGAGAUGGGAAAGAAGUUGCUUUAUGCAUCAAGGAAUUGAAUUUUCCAAGUUUCCAUCCUUCAAUGAUCGCACUCUGGGUCACAGACUCAUUUGAGAGGAAGGACAUGGAAAGAGAUCUUUUGGCUAAACUUCUUGUCAGUCUUGCAAGGUCUCAGGAUGGGAUAUUAACUCCAUCCCAGC
This 400-nucleotide unclassified non-coding RNA is filed under the name Hevea brasiliensis (rubber tree). The record is from RNAcentral. Lineage: Eukaryota; Viridiplantae; Streptophyta; Magnoliopsida; Malpighiales; Euphorbiaceae.